GUGCUUACUUUGGCAGCACAUACACUAAAAUUUGAAUGAUAGAGAUUAGCUUGGCCCCUACACAAGGAUGAUACAUUAAAAAAAAAAAAAAGGCAAAUGGAC
Small nuclear RNA from Artibeus jamaicensis (Jamaican fruit-eating bat), 102 nucleotides. Lineage: Eukaryota; Metazoa; Chordata; Mammalia; Chiroptera; Phyllostomidae. The record is from RefSeq and is a predicted model, not a curated record.